This 257-nucleotide unclassified non-coding RNA is filed under the name Hevea brasiliensis (rubber tree). Lineage: Eukaryota; Viridiplantae; Streptophyta; Magnoliopsida; Malpighiales; Euphorbiaceae. The record is from RNAcentral.
CAGCCCUCUUGCUCUCUGAGACUCGAUUCUUCCCCUCGUUCCCUCUCUGCCUCACCUCGCUACUCGCUUACUACUCGGCUCGUCACCACCUCUCUCGGCUUUUCCCUUUCUCAGCCCAAGACCCAAGUGGCAAUCACUACCUCUCGAUCUCUCCCAUCGAUUCCAUAUCUUGUUGUUCGUCAAGUCUCCAAGAGGCUGCAUUCCAAUGAUAGCUUAUAUUCAAUAUGGUAGAAAUGCCUUACGGCAUAUUAUUAAAG